This 769-nucleotide ribosomal RNA is filed under the name uncultured Actinomycetes bacterium. RNAcentral describes it as "bacterial SSU rRNA". It matches the Rfam family "Bacterial small subunit ribosomal RNA", at positions 8 to 795 of the family's 1533-position model. The record is from RNAcentral. Lineage: Bacteria; Bacillati; Actinomycetota; Actinomycetes.
AGAGUUUGAUUAUGGCUCAGGAUGAACGCUGGCGGCGUGCUCAACACAUGCAAGUCGAACGAGGUCCAACCUUCGGGUGAAGACCGAGUGGCGAACGGGUGAGUAACACGUGGGGAACCUGCCCUUCUCUCUGGGAUAACCUCGGGAAACCGAAGCUAAUACCGGAUACUCCUUGCGGACCGCAUGGUCUGCUCGGGAAAGCUCCGGCGGAGAAGGAUGGCCCCGCGGCCCAUUAGCUUGUUGGUGGGGUAGCGGCCCACCAAGGCGACGAUGGGUAGCCGAGCUGAGAGGCUGAUCGGCCACACUGGGACUGAGACACGGCCCAGACUCCUACGGGAGGCAGCAGUGGGGAAUCUUGCGCAAUGGGCGAAAGCCUGACGCAGCAACGCCGCGUGCGGGAUGAAGGCUCUCGGGUCGUAAACCGCUUUCAGCAGGGAUGAAAAUGACAGUACCUGCAGAAGAAGCCCCGGCUAAAUACGUGCCAGCAGCCGCGGUAAUACGUAUGGGGCAAGCGUUAUCCGGAUUCAUUGGGCGUAAAGCGCGCGUAGGCGGCUUGUUAAGUCAGGCGUGAAAUCCGGGGGCUCAACCCGCGGCUUGCGUCUGAAACUGGCAGGCUUGAGUCUGGUAGAGGAAAGUGGAAUUCCUGGUGUAGCGGUGAAAUGCGCAGAUAUCACGAGGAACACCAGUGGCGAAGGCGGCUUUCUGGGCCACGACUGACGCUGAGGCGCGAAAGCUAGGGGAGCGAACAGGAUUAGAUACCCUGGUAGUC